CCACAAGAAAUAUACAAAUGUAGCUACCUUAAGUCCAUCCAUGACAGGCAAAAUCCUACGAAUCAGAAUUAGGUCAUAGAUCCGAUCAUAAGAAAUUAUUUCUAAGGCUUCUUGGCCAGUUUCCACUGAACAAGUUUCCACACCAAGUGUUUUCAAAAUAUCUAAUCCAUGACAGGCAAAAUCCUACGAAUCAGAAUUAGGUCAUAGAUCCGAUCAUAAGAAAUUAUUUCUAAGGCUUCUUGGCCAGUUUCCACUGAACAAGUUUCCACACCAAGUGUUUUCAAAAUAUCUUCAUGAAUCUUUCGAAUGUGCUCAUCAUUGUCCACAACAAGUGCUCUUACU
This 342-nucleotide long non-coding RNA is filed under the name Lathyrus oleraceus (garden pea). RNAcentral describes it as "Pisum sativum (pea) long non-coding RNA (PSAT_LNC009254)". Lineage: Eukaryota; Viridiplantae; Streptophyta; Magnoliopsida; Fabales; Fabaceae. The record is from RNAcentral.